This 381-nucleotide ribosomal RNA is filed under the name Triticum aestivum (bread wheat). RNAcentral's name for it is "partial small subunit ribosomal RNA". The record is from RNAcentral. Lineage: Eukaryota; Viridiplantae; Streptophyta; Magnoliopsida; Poales; Poaceae.
AUGCACAUCCUUGUCAAGGAAGGGUGCAAUGACUACAUGACAGAACACCCGGAUCUUGACAUGUGGUCACAAUUCCCAAUAGAGAAGCAGGCAUACAAGACAUACACUAGAGAUCUUUACUGCAAGUUCCGUGAUAAGUUUUCGAUGAUUGGACGCUACAAUGCAUUCCAAAUUGGUGUGGAAACGUUUGAGCUGAGACCAAAUGCUGAUUGGGUUGUGAAGUAUGGUUCCAGGAACUACUUAGUGGUGGCAAAAAUACCCGAGGGACAAUAUUCGUGUGAGUGUACCAAAAUGGAGAGGGAUGGCAUCCUUUGUUGCCACAUAUUGAAAGUGUUCACGCAUAUUGGGCUUGAUGUCAUCCCGGAGCAGUACAUGUUGUAG